This 193-nucleotide ribosomal RNA is filed under the name uncultured bacterium. RNAcentral's name for it is "partial 16S ribosomal RNA". It matches the Rfam family "Bacterial small subunit ribosomal RNA", at positions 335 to 524 of the family's 1533-position model. The record is from RNAcentral.
ACUCCUACGGGAGGCAGCAGUGAGGAAUCUUGGUCAAUGGACGCAAGUCUGAACCAGCCAUGUCGCGUGAAAGAGGACGGCCCUAAGGGUUGUAAACUUCUUUUGCAGUGGAAUAAAGUUUGCCACGUGUUGGUGAUUUGCAAGUACGCUGCGAAUAAGGAUCGGCUAACUCCGUGCCAGCAGCCGCGGUAAU